RNAcentral lists this ribosomal RNA (254 nucleotides) under uncultured bacterium. RNAcentral's name for it is "partial 16S ribosomal RNA". It matches the Rfam family "Bacterial small subunit ribosomal RNA", at positions 524 to 776 of the family's 1533-position model. The record is from RNAcentral.
UACAGAGGUGGCAAGCGUUGUUCGGAUUUACUGGGCGUAAAGGGCGCGUAGGCGGCCACCGCAAGUCGACUGUGAAAUCUCCGGGCUUAACCCGGAAAGGUCAGCCGAUACUGCGGGGCUAGAGUGCAGAAGGGGCAACUGGAAUUCUCGGUGUAGCGGUGAAAUGCGUAGAUAUCGAGAGGAACACCUGCGGCGAAGGCGGGUUGCUGGGCUGACACUGACGCUGAGGCGCGAAAGCUAGGGGAGCGAACGGG